CGACCCAGAAACAGGCAGCCACAUUGAAACAUGCGAGGCCAAUUACAACAACGAGAAAUCUCUGACCUAGCCAUUUGACAACAAGGGCUCAAGGCUCACCUGGCCUAACAAGAUUUCGACAGUGAGAAAGGCCAGAAGAUAAGGCCGGCUUCCAACAACGCAGACAUAGCCUCCGCGACCACAAAGACUCAACCAUUCUGAGAUGUGUUAGUGUUGUCUCUCUAGUCU
RNAcentral lists this long non-coding RNA (228 nucleotides) under Elaeis guineensis (African oil palm). RNAcentral describes it as "long non-coding RNA (EGUI_LNC001256)". The record is from RNAcentral. Lineage: Eukaryota; Viridiplantae; Streptophyta; Magnoliopsida; Arecales; Arecaceae.